RNAcentral lists this ribosomal RNA (749 nucleotides) under Psychrobacter sp. MR04-19. RNAcentral's name for it is "bacterial SSU rRNA". It matches the Rfam family "Bacterial small subunit ribosomal RNA", at positions 114 to 858 of the family's 1533-position model. Lineage: Bacteria; Pseudomonadati; Pseudomonadota; Gammaproteobacteria; Moraxellales; Moraxellaceae. The record is from RNAcentral.
UACUUANGAAUCUACCUAGUAGUGGGGGAUAGCUCGGGGAAACUCGAAUUAAUACCGCAUACGUCCUACGGGAGAAAGCAGGGGAUCAUUAGACCUUGCGCUAUUAGAUGAGCCUAAGUCGGAUUAGCUAGAUGGUGGGGUAAAGGCCUACCAUGGCGACGAUCUGUAGCUGGUCUGAGAGGAUGAUCAGCCACACCGGGACUGAGACACGGCCCGGACUCCUACGGGAGGCAGCAGUGGGGAAUAUUGGACAAUGGGGGGAACCCUGAUCCAGCCAUGCCGCGUGUGUGAAGAAGGCCUUUUGGUUGUAAAGCACUUUAAGCAGUGAAGAAGACUCUUCGGUUAAUACCCGGGGACGAUGACAUUAGCUGCAGAAUAAGCACCGGCUAACUCUGUGCCAGCAGCCGCGGUAAUACAGAGGGUGCAAGCGUUAAUCGGAAUUACUGGGCGUAAAGCGAGCGUAGGUGGCUUGAUAAGUCAGAUGUGAAAUCCCCGGGCUUAACCUGGGAACUGCAUCUGAAACUGUUAGGCUAGAGUAGGUGAGAGGGAAGUAGAAUUUCAGGUGUAGCGGUGAAAUGCGUAGAGAUCUGAAGGAAUACCGAUGGCGAAGGCAGCUUCCUGGCAUCAUACUGACACUGAGGCUCGAAAGCGUGGGGUAGCAAACAGGAUUAGAUACCCUGGUAGUCCACGCCGUAAACGAUGUCUACUAGUCGUUGGGUCCCUUGANGACUUANUGACGCAGCUAACGC